AGACUGUUAAAAAUGAACAGUACCUUUAAAACGAACUGGUCAAAAACCAGCCAUGUGGCUGUUUGCAAAUGAGCUGGUCUUGAGCCAAAGUCCACUCUCAGAUUCAGUUGCCUGGCUGGUCCUGCACACGAAAUUCUGCUCAAGCAUGGUUGCUAUAACAUUUAUGAAAUCAUGGGAAGAGCCAAAGACUCUUAUCUUCUAUUGAGAGCAGCAUAAAUAUUAUCUUCAACUCAUUUGCCCUUUUUUUUUGUUCCUGAAGAGAGAACAUGCCUGUCUUUCAAACAUCUGUAACAGAGUCACCUUUGCAACGAGUGGAGUAUUUCAUGAGAAUUCUGUUCAUAUUCUACCAUCUCUGCCAAGAACACAAUUUGAAUUCAGAGUCCAAGAUGUAACCUGAAAGGAGCAAGAAUACAGUUGACAGAGUGUCAGACUGGGAUCCAGAAGACUCGAGUUCAAAUUCCUGCCCAGCCAUAGUAACUCAGAAGGUGGCAGUUAUAAACCAUUCCUUGAACAUCAACGUAUUAAGAAAAUCCUAUUAGGGUCUUCACUGUUGAAAAAGCCAUUUUUAUUGAUACAAUGAUGAUGGUGAUACACUGUAAUUAUUACUAUUGCUAUUACUAUUAAUUGCUAUUAAUAGUAGCUAUAUCUAUAGUUAUUACAAUGGCUGUUACUGUAGUUAUUGUUGAUAAUAUUAACAUGGUCAAACUUUUUCCUAGAUGCGCAUUUAAGGGAAGAAAAUAGUAUCAUAGCUACCAUUACAAACUGGACUCUCUAUCCUUCCCAAUAAUACUUGGCUGGCAAUGUGGCAGAGGACUGGAGCCCCACCUUUCCAAGCAGUGCUGAAAAGGCCGUUCUAGCUGUCAUUUCAAUUCCUCAUUGUCCCCCAGAGCAACACUACCUCAGGAACAUUGUGGGGAAUUGCAACGGUGGCUCAUUCCAACUACAAAGACCCUCCAUUAUCUGUGAUUUUCCACAUGCUGACUCACAUGGAGAGCAUCCACACAUAGCAGCACUCUCUAUCUUCAGACUAGUUCCUCUGUAUUUGGAGAAGGGAGACAAAAUCAGAAACAAAAGGGGCAGAAGGGCAGGAGAUAGCACUCCUCUCCACCAUUAGUUCCCAACCUUGGGUCCCCAGAUGUUCUUGACUACAACUCCCAGAAAUCUUUGUGAGCACAACUAGUAGUGAAGGCUUCUAGAAAUUUUAAUCCAAGAACAUCUGGUGGACCCAAGAUGUUGGGAACCCUGCUUUAGAGAGUAUGCACAAAGUUCCUAAUAGAUCUGUUGCCAGCAAAGUGCACCCAGCAUUGAAAGGCAAUCAUAAUUCAUUUGAGAAAGCAUGCCUGGAGUUUUAAAAAUGCCCAUUGAUGAAUU
RNAcentral lists this long non-coding RNA (1371 nucleotides) under Pogona vitticeps (central bearded dragon). Its description in RNAcentral is "lncRNA (ENSPVIG00000023593.1)". The record is from RNAcentral. Lineage: Eukaryota; Metazoa; Chordata; Lepidosauria; Squamata; Agamidae.